AGUGAACGCUGGCGGUAGGCCUAACACAUGCAAGUCGAACGGCAGCACAGUAAGAGCUUGCUCUUACGGGUGGCGAGUGGCGGACGGGUGAGGAAUACAUCGGAAUCUACUUUUUCGUGGGGGAUAACGUAGGGAAACUUACGCUAAUACCGCAUACGACCUACGGGUGAAAGCAGGGGAUCUUCGGACCUUGCGCGAUUGAAUGAGCCGAUGUCGGAUUAGCUAGUUGGCGGGGUAAAGGCCCACCAAGGCGACGAUCCGUAGCUGGUCUGAGAGGAUGAUCAGCCACACUGGAACUGAGACACGGUCCAGACUCCUACGGGAGGCAGCGGUGGGGAAUAUUGAUGAAAGGGGGCAAGCCUGAUCCAGCCAUACCGCGUGGGUGAAGAAGGCCUUCGGGUUGUAAAGCCCUUUUGUUGGGAAAGAAAAGCAGCAGGUUAAUACCCCGCUGUUCUGGCGGUACCCAAAGAAUAAGCACCGGCUAACUUCGUG
Molecule: ribosomal RNA, 492 nt
Filed under: uncultured bacterium
Lineage: Bacteria
Description: partial 16S ribosomal RNA
Rfam family: Bacterial small subunit ribosomal RNA
Source: RNAcentral